UAAUCACAAGGGAUAAAGUUGUCAUUGGUUAUGCAAUCUAAAACUGCUCUUUUUGUUUCCUUUCAGUCACUGUGGAAGUGGAGCACAAAGCAGUCACUUUGGUUUCUUCAUCAGCAUUUUGAAAUGCCUGAUUGAACUGAAGAGAUAUGGGACACUGACUUUUAUCUACGUGCUAACAGACAUGGCUGUGCUGUGCAGCAAAAGUUCUUCAAAGGGGAUUGUGACAGCACUGGCCAGCACCAACCCAAAUACUGCAGAUGGAGUGACGUAGAGUCCUGGUGAGAAAGGAGGGAAGAGCACCCAGAUGUCCACAGCCAGCAAUCCUGGCUCUUGAGAUUACAGCUGAUGCAUCAGGGCAUCCAAGGAAGACUGGUGAAUUAGAGGAAGAUCAGAAAUUUUUGAAAGUUUUGAUCUUGGUUAUCAUUUACAUAGCAGAGGUGAAAACAACAACAACAAAAGGACAAGAGCAGCAAGAUUUAACUGAAAUUGAUCCCAAAGACAAGUCAUAAAGAAAAGGAAGGUGAAUUGCUGAGAAUAGAUGGUGAGGCACUGUAGCAGUGAGCCUUUCACAAAGAAUGUGAGAGAUGCUAAUCAAUACAGCCUUUCUGACAAAAACUUUUUGAAAAAUGGCUUGUGUGAUCUUCUGGUCUGUGAUGCUCAGAUUGGUUGGUGUGAUCAUAUAUGCCAGCAUGCCGUUAGUCCAUAUGGUAACAGUUUCAUCAAGACAAUUUGUACUAUUUAAGAUCUGUAUGGAUAUUCUUUGCAUACUGCAUACCAAGUAAAAGAGUAACCAAUAUUUCCACAAGAAAAUCUUCUAACCUUCUCAGUUCUUCUGUGCAAUAAAUGGAAGUAAACAGUCA
Molecule: long non-coding RNA, 860 nt
Filed under: Phasianus colchicus (ring-necked pheasant)
Lineage: Eukaryota; Metazoa; Chordata; Aves; Galliformes; Phasianidae
Description: lncRNA (ENSPCLG00000003341.1)
Source: RNAcentral